This is a long non-coding RNA of Aedes albopictus (Asian tiger mosquito), 6262 nucleotides long. RefSeq lists it as uncharacterized. The record is from RefSeq and is a predicted model, not a curated record. NCBI's taxonomy places the organism in Eukaryota, Metazoa, Arthropoda, Insecta, Diptera, Culicidae. The transcript has 2 exons.
UUACAUUCACGGCGUGGAGAGUUGCUUUCACAGCUCGCUCACGACUUAAGCAUGCGUGUGCGACCCUUAUGAUAUUCGGCAAACUUUCAGAUAAAACUACAAGGUAAAAGUCAUCCAUACAUUGUUUUUUGAUAGCAUGCUUAUGAACUGAGAUAGUAGCAAGUGAAUGUAACUCUUUGCAAAUGGUGAAUGCCAUCCCUUGGUAUAUGCAGCUUGAAACGAUUUCAAAAUUAGGGAAUGCCAGACCAGCUACACUAACACAAGGAACCAAUGAGAUAUCUGCCGGGGAUCUUCAGUGUGUGAGCGUUGCACAUUGGAGUAAAUCAUAUCAAAACCUGAUCAUAAGUGGAUAUUAUUUCAUGCAAAAAAAAAAAAGAAGUUUAAAAUCGGUCAACUGGUUCAAAAGCUGUGAUUUUUUGAAAAAUUUUAGCUUCGAAAAAUCUUCAUUUUUACGAUCAUUAAAUUGGUCACCCUAAUGAUGAAAUAAAAAAAUACGGGUCUAAUUAUUUUCGAUAAACUACAAAACUACCAAGUAUCACGAUGUUCGGAGACACACUACAGGUCGGAGUUGAUUAUCCGGGGGUUCAAUUAACCGGGGGCCCGAUUAUCCGGGGCUCGAUUUUCCGGAAAAACCCGAUUUAAUCCACCUAUGGUGAACAGAACCCUUCUUACACUUAUUAAAAUUAUUGUUUAUUAUUUAUAUUUAAUGAAAAUGAAUUGAGUGAUGGACCAAAAGUUCUAGAAAAUAUUGUGGAUUUGGCAUCUAGUGGAUUGGUUUCCAAAAUAUCAUCGUGGACCAUGGACUAAACUACCAGAAAUGCCAGACAAAAAGAUAUCUUACUUAUUCUGGAAUUAUGUAUCUUUUGUUAACUGCCAAAAGAUCUUGAAUCGAUAAAGUCUAAUAUCUCUUAAUCAGUCGAAUAAAUUAGCUCCGAAGUACUUGGUAUUCAUGGUUAUGGUGUAAAAAGGACAAAAAUAAUAUAUCUACUAUGGGCUAAUCAGUUUUGGAAUUAGCUAGUUAUUUUGGCUGUCCAGUUCUUGCAUUUUUCCCACAAUAUAUAAAUUCAAAGCUCUCAUUUAAUAUAUUGUUAGUUUUCAUAGAAUUCCUGUUUAUUUGUAAUUUGUUAUUUAUAAUUUUAUUGAAAGCAAUUAUCUGCUAGUAUACACUUUAGAGAACCCAAAUCGGUUGACAGACGGCUGAGAUAUUUAUUAUGAUACACUUGGUCAAAAAUCUCUCAAAAGUUUAACCUGUAUUACUCCCAAGUACUCUUUGAAAGAUAUCUCGAUAACCAAAUGUCCAAUCCUAAUAAAAUUGUAUAGGGUUCUACUAGGAUGUUAUAGCUUUCAUUUGGUGCCAGGAGAACCGAAAUCGGUUGACAUACGGUUGAGAUAUUCAUUAUGAUACACUUUGUCAAAAAUCUCAAAAAGUUUAGUUGUAUAAAUCCUAAGUACUCUUCGAAAGAUAUCUCUGUAACCAAAUGUCCAAUCCUAAGAAAAUUUCUGAGCAAUCUACUAGGAUGUUGUAGCUUUCAUUUGGUGCCAAGAGAACCCAAAUCGAUUGACACACGGCUGAGAUCCCAAGUAACAAUCAGCAUGCCUUGAAGGUUUAUUCAUGUUUUAUCCUGGUUUUAUACGAGCAUGUCAAAAAGCUAGUUGUUCUAAAUUAGUUUUAUGUGGUAGUUUUUUACUUUGAACCUUUUGCGUUCCAUAAAACUAUCAUAUAACUUCUGCUAUAAACAUCUUCAGUUAAAGACUUGCAAGUAGACAUUAAUUGGUUUUAUCACUUAUUAUAUACCAUUCCAAUAAAACUUGCGUUUGCGGUUGUUGUCGGAGAGAUUUUUUUUGUAAACAAAUACACAAAACUGUGAGGCAAUGAAUAAAACCAACAAAAGAUUUCGCGGCCGUAACAUAAACCAAAAAAAUGCUGUGAUAAAACUGCUAGUUCUAUCAUGAGCUUAGUUAUGACUACCUCAGGAGGGUCAGCCCUAUUGAAGGAAUCAUCAGGAACACAGAGUUUUAUCAGAAAAAUAUGUCGCCUAGCCGGAAUAAUUUAUGUAAAUACAGAAAAAAUAUUACUCAAUUUUAUGAUUUCACGUACAGCUUAAGAUCAAAUUAAACCAUACAACACGUUUCCGUCAUUUUAUUUUGUUAGAAAAAAUACAUAAUGUCUUUUUAACUCCACUGUGUUGAAAAACCCUUUUUUGCACCCAUUUCCACCGAGUAAAUUAAAUGCAUUUAACUUCCAAAUUAUGCAUAGUUUGUGUGGCGCACUUAGUUUUUGUUAUUAUCACAGUCACAUUCACCACAAAUUUUCCGUGGCAUGUCUCCUGACACGUAUUAAAUAGGAAAACAAAUCUGAAUUCCAUAUCUGCAUCUUUCCAAUUGAUGGCUGGAUAAACAACGAAGCAUAAUUUAUUCUGACGAUCGAACAUUGAAAGUGAAAAAUAAUCAAAACAAUUAUUUGACAAGUCAGAAGAUGGUUUUAUUUAGAAGAUUGAUAAAACUAUGAUACAACCCGAAAUCCUAAGCCGGUUUGCAUACGAAGUCCUGUAGACCCUAAUAAGACUGGGCCAACUAGCCAGAACGUGGACUUAUUGAGGCAUACAAGAACUCGAGAGCAUUUUCAAGUCGGCAUCAAUGGUUUUAUGUUUAGGAUUUUUGAAUCGCUAAAAAACUUUGAUAAAAUUUAAAUUGUUACUUGGGAUGUUUAGUUUGAUACACUUUGUUAAAAAUCUCAAAAAGUUUAGUUGUAUAACUCCUAAGUACUCUUCGAAAGAUAUCUCAGUAACCAAAUCCAGUCGAAAUAAAAUUUCAGAGCGUUCUACUAGGAUGUUAUAGCUUUCAUUUGCUGCCAAGAGAACUCAAAUCGGUUGACAGACGGCUGAGAUAUUCAUCAAUAUGUUAAAUGUCAAAAAUCUCUCAAAAAGCUAACCUAUAUGACUUCAAAGUACUCAUCGAAAGAUAUCUCGGUAACCAAAUGUGUGAUCGUAAUAAAAUUCAAUACGGUUCUACUAGGAUGUUAUAGCUUUCAUUUGCAACUAAGAAAAUCCAAAUCGGAUAUCAGACGGCUGAGAAACGCGCGUGACUUUUUUUGUAACAUACGCACACACACAUACACACACACAUACACACACACAUACAUACACACACACAGACAUUUGCUCAGUUGGUCGAGCUGAGUUGAUUUUUUAUAUGAGACUCGGCCCUGCGGGCCUCGGAUCGAAAGUCGGUUUUUCGAGCGGUAUUUAUACCCUUCUUAUGGGUGUAAGAAGGGUAAAAAUGGCUCGAUUAUCCGGGAACCAAAUAAUUUUUCGUUUUAUUUGCAUGAUUUUAGAUGGCAAUAUGUCAAAAGAUGUAGCAAAUGUCAACUACAACACCCAUAAAUCAGAUUCAGCCUAUUUGAGAAUUAUUUUUAUUAUGCAGAUUUUUCAGCCAAAUUCCAUUUUCAACAAAUACGGUUAUAAUCAUGCCAGCCGUUGAAUUUAAGGACUACAACAUCAUACAAGCUUACUUCUAUGUUUACCCAACUAAUUUUGAUUGAUAAAUCUUAAAAAUAAAAUAAAAAAAUCUGGCCCGAUUAUCCGGGGUGAUUUUUUUUUCGGAGUCACCCGGAUAAUCGAGUCCGACUUGUAUAUCAAUUUUCUAUGGAAUGGUGGUAUAAUUAUUUAAAAAAAAAGCUUGUUGAAGUCGGUUAGAUUGUUUGUUUCCUACUGCUAGGUGAAUUUAUUGUUAUAAAAUUCAUUGAAAACUAUAGAAUACGAUUCAUUACUAAUUUAGGUUGUAUUUGGGGUUCGAAAAUACGUCAAAAUAAUUUUGAUCAGUUUUGAUGUACUAGGUGCUCCACUGUGCGUUGGUGAUCUUCUAUUCUUAGGUGAUCUUCUAUUCUAUUCUUGAGAAAUUCUUCAACACAGCUGAAAACCCAGACAUCCUAAUCAUUCCAUCGGACAAAGGAAACAAAAAACAAAACCUCGGAAGACUACAAAAGAAAAAUGUUGGCCCUUGUAGGGGACCAACAGACAUACGAACGGAUCCCACGACUCUACAAACCGAUACCAGAGCCAUAACAACAGUAUCGUACAAUGUCUCCAUGCGCUUAAAUUGGUAGAUGACAAAACAGUCCGAUCGCUUAAAACCUACUCAGCAGUGUGCCCGAGAAUUUAUGGACAACCCAAGGCCCACAAAGCAAGUUUACCACUCCACCCGGUCGUUCCCAAGAUGAUUGCUCCAUCGUACAAGCUUGCUAAGUUCGUCGGCAGCAUAAAUCGAUCAAGAGUCCAUACAACAUCAAGGACUCCUUCUCGUUCUGCGACUUCAAUCCCGUUCGAACUUUUGCUGCAGUUGUUAGAUGUCUAAAACAACAAAUUCAAGUGAUAAGAUUAAGAUAUUUUAGUUUUGUAUUUUCUUAUAAUUUUUUAGUAGAACAAUAUUGCUCAAGUUAGAAUAAGCGUGUUCUUCUAGCUCGGUUCUCUUUCUCGGCUUGUUUCCAAUGCUCCGAGUUAGUUUGGGGUUUGUAGGUAGUAAGCUUAUGGACUCCUCCAACUAUUCAAGGAAGCAAAGCUACUACGUUCAGCAUGAUUGCCUUCGAAAAGCUAGUUUUUGGAACGCAUUUGGCUUUCCCGAAUUUUAAGAAUUUGUGCUGGUGCCGAAGAGCAAAUAACCAUAAUACUACAGAGAAUAUGAUUCCGUUUUGGAUAAUUUAACUCAAAACGUAUGUUGGAGUGUUCCAGAACGAAUUUUAUCAAAAAUUCUGCUUUCUAAAGUACUUCCGAUUGCAAAUGGUAUUAUUCGAUUAUUUUUAGUGUUGUUUUGUUUUUUUUUUAAUUCGAAAAUAGCAAAAAAAACCUGAUUUAAUCCACCUAUGGUGAACAGAACCCUUCUUACACUCAUUAAAAUUAUUGUUGUAUUAUUCGUAUGCAUGAUUGUGAUUUUUGGGUGAAGGAAGGGUAAAAAGGAAUUUAUUGAGAUUACUCCCAAAUACUCUUCAAAAGAAAUCUCGGUAACUAAAUGUCCAAUCAAAAUAAACUUCGAUACAAUUGUACGAGGAUGUUGUAGCUUUCAUUUGAUGCUAAGAGAACCCGAAUCGGUUGACAGACGACUGAGAAAUUUAUUAUGAUACAUUUUAUCAAAAAUCUCUCAAAAGCGUAAAUUUCAUUACUCCUUAGUACUCGUGGAAAGAUAUCUCGGAAACAAAAUGUCCAAACGGCAUGAAAUUUAAUAGCAUACUACUUGGAUGCUGUAGCUUUCAUUUGAUGCUGAGAGAACUCAAAUCGAUUGACACACGGCUGAUUCAUUUAUUAUGAAGCAUUUUGUCAAAGACCUCUUAAAAAGUUAAGUUGUAUUACUCCAAAGUACUCCCCGAAAGAUAUCUCGGUUACAAAAUGUCCAAUCGGAAUGAAAUUCAAAAGCGUUCUUCUAGGAUGCAGUAGCUUUCGUUUCGGGCCUUAAGAACCCGAAUCGGUUGAUAGACGGCUGAGAAAUUUAUGGUGAUACACUUUGUCAAAAGUAUCUAAAAUAAUUAAGUUGUACUACUCCCUAGCACUCUUUGAAAGAUAUCUCGGUAACCGAACGUCCAAUCAAAAAAAAAAAUUCUAUAUCGUUCUACUAGGAUGUAGUAGCUUUCGUUUGGGGCCUUAAGAACCCAAAUCGGUUGAUAGACGGCUGAGAAAUUUAUGGUGAUACACUUUGUCAAAAGUAUCUAAAAUAAUUAAGUUGUACUACUCCCUAGCACUCUUUGAAAGAUAUCUCGGUAACCGAACGUCCAAUCAAAAUAAAAUUCAAUAGCGUUCUACUAGGAUGUAGUAGCUUUCAUUUGCUUCCAAGAGAACUCAAAUCGGUCAACAGACGGCUGAGAACCGUGAGUGACAUUUUUUUGUAACAUACAUACACACACACACACACACACACACACACACACACACACACACACACACACACACACACACACACACACACACACACACACACACACACACAUACACACACACACGCACAUACAGACAUUUGCUCAAUUCGUCGAGCUGAGUUGAUUGGUAUAUGUGACUCGGCCCUGCGGGCCUCGGAUCGAAAGUCGGUUUUCCAAGCGGUAUUUAUACCCUUCUUAUGGGUGUAAGAAGGGUAAAAAGGCUUUUCCUACAUACAUUCCGUGAUAUUUUUGCUACUGUUUAUUAAGCUCAAAUAUUACAAAGAGAUAGUAGCUUUUAUAUAUUUGAUGCAAUUGCAUUUUCAUGCAGAGCUCCUUGAGAAACCAAAUUUGAUCAUAAAA